Molecule: ribosomal RNA, 255 nt
Filed under: uncultured bacterium
Lineage: Bacteria
Description: partial 16S ribosomal RNA
Rfam family: Bacterial small subunit ribosomal RNA
Source: RNAcentral
GACGUAGGGCGCGAGCGUUUGUCCGGAUUUAUUGGGCGUAAAGAGCUCGUAGGCGGCUUGUCGCGUCGACCGUGAAAACUUGGGGCUCAACCCCAAGCCUGCGGUCGAUACGGGCAGGCUCGAGUUCGGUAGGGGGAGACUGGAAUUCCUGGUGUAGCGGUGAAAUGCGCAGAUAUCAGGAGGAACACCGAUGGCGAAGGCAGGUCUCUGGGCCGAUACUGACGCUGAGGAGCGAAAGCGUGGGGAGCGAACAGG